UGAAUACGAGACGCUAAGGCGUCGAAGUAGUGUAUGUCAUACUUCCAAGAAAAGCUUGCACUGUCAUAGAUAAAGAACGCCUGUACCAUAACCGACACAGGUGGGUAGGUAGAGUAUACUAAGGGGCGCGAGAUAACUCUCUCUAAGGAACUCGGCAAAAUAACUCCGUAACUUCGGGAGAAGGAGUGCCUUAUUCGUAAGGUUGCAAUAACAAGAUCCAAGCAACUGUUUAUCAAAAACACAGGUCUCCGCUAAGUCGUAAGACGAUGUAUGGGGGCUGACGCCUGCCCAGUGCCAGAAGGUUAAAGAAGUUGGUUAGCAAUUGCGAAGCUGAUAACUGAAGCCCUGGUGAACGGCGGCCGUAACAAUAACGGUCCUAAGGUAGCGAAAUUCCUUGUCGGGUAAGUUCCGGCCCGCACGAAAGGCGUAAUGAUUUGGAUACUGUCUCGGAGAGGGGCUCGGUGAAAUAGACUUGUCUGUGAAGAUGCGGACUACCUGCACCAGGACAGAAAGACCCUAUGAAGCUUUACUGUAACUUGAAAUUGAAAUUGGACUUUAUUCGCGCAGUAUAGGUGGGAGGCGUUGAUUAUAAUCUUGUGGGAUUAUUGGAGCCAUCAGUGAGAUACCACUCUUGUAAUGUUAGAUUUCUAACUUUGAAUCAUUAUCUGGUCAAAGAACAGUUUCAGGCGGGCAGUUUGACUGGGGCGGUCGCCUCCUAAACGGUAACGGAGGCGUACAAAGGUUUCCUCUGAACGGUUAGAAAUCGUAUCUAGAGUGUAAAGGCAUAAGGAAGCUUGACUGUGAGACCUACAAGUCGAGCAGGGACGAAAGUCGGUCUUAGUGAUCUGACGGUACUGAGUGGAAAGGCCGUCACUCAACGGAUAAAAGUUACUCUAGGAUAACAGGCUGAUCUCCCCCAAGAGUUCACAUCGACGGGGAGGUUUGGCACCUCGAUGUCGGCUCAUCGCAUCCUGGGGCGGUAGUACGUCCCAAGGGUUGGGCUGUUCGCCCAUGAAAGCGGUACGCGAGCUGGGUUCAGAACGUCGUGAGACAGUUCGGUCCAUAUCCGGUGUAGGCGUUAGAAUAUUGAGAGGAGCCUUCUUUAGUACGAGAGGACCAAGAAGGACAUACCUCUGGUGUACCAGUUAUCGUGCCAACGGUAAACGCUGGGUAGCUAUGUAUGGAGUGGAUAACCGCUGAAAGCAUCUAAGUGGGAAGCCCACCUCAAGAUAAGUAUUCUCAC
Molecule: ribosomal RNA, 1243 nt
Filed under: metagenome
Description: bacterial LSU rRNA
Rfam family: Bacterial large subunit ribosomal RNA
Source: RNAcentral